GAUGAACGCUAGCGGCAGGCCUAAUACAUGCAAGUCGAACGAGAUUACGAGGCUUGCUUCUUAUGAAAGUGGCGCACGGGUGCGUAACGCGUAUGCAACCUACCUUAAUCAGGGGGAUAGCCCGAAGAAAUUCGGAUUAAGACCGCAUAAAAACACAGGAUAGCAUUAUCCAAUGUUCAAAUAUUUAUAGGAUUAAGAUGGGCAUGCGUGUCAUUAGCUAGUUGGCGGGGUAACGGCCCACCAAGGCGACGAUGACUAGGGGAUCUGAGAGGAUGACCCCCCACACGGGUACUGAGACACGGACCAGACUCCUACGGGAGGCAGCAGUAAGGAAUAUUGGUCAAUGGAGGGAACUCUGAACCAGCCAUGCCGCGUGCAGGAAGACAGCCCUCUGGGUCGUAAACUGCUUUUAUUCGGGAAUAAACCUUUCUACGUGUAGGAAGCUGAAUGUACCGAAGGAAUAAGGAUCGGCUAACUCCGUG
Molecule: ribosomal RNA, 482 nt
Filed under: uncultured bacterium
Lineage: Bacteria
Description: partial 16S ribosomal RNA
Rfam family: Bacterial small subunit ribosomal RNA
Source: RNAcentral